Molecule: ribosomal RNA, 1663 nt
Filed under: Staphylococcus aureus
Lineage: Bacteria; Bacillati; Bacillota; Bacilli; Caryophanales; Staphylococcaceae
Description: bacterial LSU rRNA
Source: RNAcentral
GCCGAAAAUGUACCGGGGCUAAACAUAUUACCGAAGCUGUGGAUUGUCCUUUGGACAAUGGUAGGAGAGCGUUCUAAGGGCGUUGAAGCAUGAUCGUAAGGACAUGUGGAGCGCUUAGAAGUGAGAAUGCCGGUGUGAGUAGCGAAAGAYGGGUGAGAAUCCCGUCCACCGAUUGACUAAGGUUUCCAGAGGAAGGCUCGUCCGCUCUGGGUUAGUCGGGUCCUAAGCUGAGGCCGACAGGCGUAGGCGAUGGAUAACAGGUUGAUAUUCCUGUACCACCUAUAAUCGUUUUAAUCGAUGGGGGGACGCAGUAGGAUAGGCGAAGCGUGCGAUUGGAUUGCACGUCUAAGCAGUAAGGCUGAGUAUUAGGCAAAUCCGGUACUCGUUAAGGCUGAGCUGUGAUGGGGAGAAGACAUUGUGUCUUCGAGUCGUUGAUUUCACACUGCCGAGAAAAGCCUCUAGAUAGAAAAUAGGUGCCCGUACCGCAAACCGACACAGGUAGUCAAGAUGAGAAUUCUAAGGUGAGCGAGCGAACUCUCGUUAAGGAACUCGGCAAAAUGACCCCGUAACUUCGGGAGAAGGGGUGCUCUUUAGGGUUAACGCCCAGAAGAGCCGCAGUGAAUAGGCCCAAGCGACUGUUUAUCAAAAACACAGGUCUCUGCUAAACCGUAAGGUGAUGUAUAGGGGCUGACGCCUGCCCGGUGCUGGAAGGUUAAGAGGAGUGGUUAGCUUCUGCGAAGCUACGAAUCGAAGCCCCAGUAAACGGCGGCCGUAACUAUAACGGUCCUAAGGUAGCGAAAUUCCUUGUCGGGUAAGUUCCGACCCGCACGAAAGGCGUAACGAUUUGGGCACUGUCUCAACGAGAGACUCGGUGAAAUCAUAGUACCUGUGAAGAUGCAGGUUACCCGCGACAGGACGGAAAGACCCCGUGGAGCUUUACUGUAGCCUGAUAUUGAAAUUCGGCACAGCUUGUACAGGAUAGGUAGGAGCCUUUGAAACGUGAGCGCUAGCUUACGUGGAGGCGCUGGUGGGAUACUACCCUAGCUGUGUUGGCUUUCUAACCCGCACCACUUAUCGUGGUGGGAGACAGUGUCAGGCGGGCAGUUUGACUGGGGCGGUCGCCUCCUAAAAGGUAACGGAGGCGCUCAAAGGUUYCCUCAGAAUGGUUGGAAAUCAUUCAUAGAGUGUAAAGGCAUAAGGGAGCUUGACUGCGAGACCUACAAGUCGAGCAGGGUCGAAAGACGGACUUAGUGAUCCGGUGGUUCCGCAUGGAAGGGCCAUCGCUCAACGGAUAAAAGCUACCCCGGGGAUAACAGGCUUAUCUCCCCCAAGAGUUCACAUCGACGGGGAGGUUUGGCACCUCGAUGUCGGCUCAUCGCAUCCUGGGGCUGUAGUCGGUCCCAAGGGUUGGGCUGUUCGCCCAUUAAAGCGGUACGCGAGCUGGGUUCAGAACGUCGUGAGACAGUUCGGUCCCUAUCCGUCGUGGGCGUAGGAAAUUUGAGAGGAGCUGUCCUUAGUACGAGAGGACCGGGAUGGACAUACCUCUGGUGUACCAGUUGUCGUGCCAACGGCAUAGCUGGGUAGCUAUGUGUGGACGGGAUAAGUGCUGAAAGCAUCUAAGCAUGAAGCCCCCCUCAAGAUGAGAUUUCCCAACUUCGGUUAU